Molecule: ribosomal RNA, 252 nt
Filed under: uncultured bacterium
Lineage: Bacteria
Description: partial 16S ribosomal RNA
Rfam family: Bacterial small subunit ribosomal RNA
Source: RNAcentral
UACGUAGGGGGCUAGCGUUAUCCGGAAUUACUGGGCGUAAAGGGUGCGUAGGUGGUUUCUUAAGUCAGAGGUGAAAGGCUACGGCUCAACCGUAGUAAGCCUUUGAAACUGGGAAACUUGAGUGCAGGAGAGGAGAGUGGAAUUCCUAGUGUAGCGGUGAAAUGCGUAGAUAUUAGGAGGAACACCAGUUGCGAAGGCGGCUCUCUGGACUGUAACUAACACUGAGGCACGAAAGCGUGGGGAGCAAACAGG